RNAcentral lists this ribosomal RNA (464 nucleotides) under uncultured bacterium. RNAcentral's name for it is "partial 16S ribosomal RNA". It matches the Rfam family "Bacterial small subunit ribosomal RNA", at positions 339 to 795 of the family's 1533-position model. The record is from RNAcentral.
CUACGGGGGGCUCCAGUGGGGAAUUUUGGACAAUGGGGGAAACCCUGAUCCAGCCAUCCCGCGUGUGCGAUGAAGGCCUUCGGGUUGUAAAGCACUUUUGGCAGGAAAGAAGCGUCGCGGGUUAAUACCCUGCGAAACUGACGGUACCUGCAGAAUAAGCACCGGCUAACUACGUGCCAGCAGCCGCGGUAAUACGUAGGGUGCAAGCGUUAAUCGGAAUUACUGGGCGUAAAGCGUGCGCAGGCGGUUCGGAAAGAAAGAUGUGAAAUCCCAGAGCUUAACUUUGGAACUGCAUUUUUAACUACCGGGCUAGAGUGUGUCAGAGGGAGGUGGAAUUCCGCGUGUAGCAGUGAAAUGCGUAGAUAUGCGGAGGAACACCGAUGGCGAAGGCAGCCUCCUGGGAUAACACUGACGCUCAUGCACGAAAGCGUGGGGAGCAAACAGGAUUAGAUACCCGCGUAGUC